RNAcentral lists this non-coding RNA (23 nucleotides) under Arabidopsis thaliana (thale cress). Lineage: Eukaryota; Viridiplantae; Streptophyta; Magnoliopsida; Brassicales; Brassicaceae. The record is from RNAcentral.
AGAAGAACAAAGUGGUAUGUGAA